This 302-nucleotide unclassified non-coding RNA is filed under the name uncultured fungus. Its description in RNAcentral is "partial contains 5.8S ribosomal RNA, internal transcribed spacer 2, and large subunit ribosomal RNA". The stretch from base 1 to 52 matches the Rfam family "5.8S ribosomal RNA", at positions 103 to 154 of the family's 154-position model. The record is from RNAcentral. Lineage: Eukaryota; Fungi.
AACGCAUCUUGCGCCCUUUGGUAUUCCGAAGGGCAUGCCUGUUUGAGUGUCAUGUUCAUCUCAAACCACAAGCCUUUUGUUAGGCUUGGACGGUUUGGACUUGGAGGUUCUGCUGGCGGGUGUCGGCUCCUCUUAAAAGCAUUAGCUGGACUUUGGCUUGCAUGAAUGGUGUAAUAGUAACGUGUUCGCCGAAAGUGCUUGCCUGGUGGGUCUGCUUCUAAUUGUCUUCGGACAAGGUCUCUUCGUGACCUUUUGCUUGACCAUUUGACCUCAAGUCAGGUAGGACUACCCGCUGAACUUAA